RNAcentral lists this ribosomal RNA (497 nucleotides) under uncultured bacterium. Its description in RNAcentral is "partial 16S ribosomal RNA". It matches the Rfam family "Bacterial small subunit ribosomal RNA", at positions 28 to 507 of the family's 1533-position model. The record is from RNAcentral.
GAUGAACGCUGGCGGCGUGCCUAAUACAUGCAAGUCGAGCGAACGGACGAGAAGCUUGCUUUUCUGAUGUUAGCGGCGGACGGGUGAGUAACACGUGGAUAACCUACCUAUAAGACUGGGAUAACUUCGGGAAACCGGAGCUAAUACCGGAUAAUAUUUUGAACCGCAUGGUUCAAAAGUGAAAGACGGUCUUGCUGUCACUUAUAGAUGGAUCCGCGCUGCAUUAGCUAGUUGGUAAGGUAACGGCUUACCAAGGCAACGAUGCAUAGCCGACCUGAGAGGGUGAUCGGCCACACUGGAACUGAGACACGGUCCAGACUCCUACGGGAGGCAGCAGUAGGGAAUCUUCCGCAAUGGGCGAAAGCCUGACGGAGCAACGCCGCGUGAGUGAUGAAGGUCUUCGGAUCGUAAAACUCUGUUAUUAGGGAAGAACACAUGUGUAAGUAACUGUGCACAUCUUGACGGUACCUAAUCAGAAAGCCACGGCUAACUACGUG